CCUGCAACCAGAGGUGAUGCAGGUGUGGCUGCUAUGUCACGUGUGCAUCAGUAGCUUGCAGAGAGGAAAGAGGCUAUGUUCUGACUUGGAACAUCUGAAUGAUUAGCAGCCUAACACU
This is a small nucleolar RNA of Rattus norvegicus (Norway rat), 118 nucleotides long. Ensembl annotates it as small nucleolar RNA SNORA17. The record is from Ensembl. NCBI's taxonomy places the organism in Eukaryota, Metazoa, Chordata, Mammalia, Rodentia, Muridae.